RNAcentral lists this ribosomal RNA (615 nucleotides) under uncultured bacterium. RNAcentral's name for it is "bacterial SSU rRNA". The stretch from base 1 to 518 matches the Rfam family "Bacterial small subunit ribosomal RNA", at positions 338 to 873 of the family's 1533-position model. The record is from RNAcentral.
CCUACGGGAGGCAGCAGUGGGGAAUCUUGCGCAAUGGGCGAAAGCCUGACGCAGCCAUGCCGCGUGAAUGAUGAAGGUCUUAGGAUUGUAAAAUUCUUUCACCGGGGACGAUAAUGACGGUACCCGGAGAAGAAGCCCCGGCUAACUUCGUGCCAGCAGCCGCGGUAAUACGAAGGGGGCUAGCGUUGCUCGGAAUUACUGGGCGUAAAGGGAGCGUAGGCGGAUAGUUUAGUCAGAGGUGAAAGCCCAGGGCUCAACCUUGGAAUUGCCUUUGAUACUGGCUAUCUUGAGUAUGGGAGAGGUAUGCGGAACUCCGAGUGUAGAGGUGAAAUUCGUAGAUAUUCGGAAGAACACCAGUGGCGAAGGCGGCAUACUGGCCCAUUACUGACGCUGAGGCUCGAAAGCGUGGGGAGCAAACAGGAUUAGAUACCCUGGUAGUCCACGCUGUAAACGAUGAGUGCUAGUUGUCGGCAUGNAUNCAUGUCGGUGACGCAGCUACGACAUUAAGACACUCCGCCGUCGGGGUAGGUACGGUCGGCGAAGAAGUUAAAACUAACGAAAGGAAAGUUAGACGGCGUGAGACGUGCCGACGGACGACGACGAGGGGAGGUUAGG